AGACAUUCCAACAAUCUCGCUCCUCCCGCACCUUGGCUCGGUCAUGAGCUUGGGGACAAUCGAAACCCUAGCCACCAUCGCCUCCUCCGUCCUCUGGGUCCUCCCUAGCCGGCGUCGCCUCUUCCCUCCUCUCUCCUCCCCUAGCCAUCGACGCAUCCUCCCUCCUCCCCUCUAUGCCUCGUCAUGUUGCACGAGCGCACCUGAAUCUGCGGGAGAAAUGGCGUGCGGCCCUUCCCGGUGGUGUUGCGCCGUGGUCGCCUCUGCUCCCGCUCGUGGCUCUACGACGACGUUGGGGCUUGCCACACCGCUGGGACAUUCUGCUCCCACCUGGUGCCUCCGUGAGAUCGAAGGACCCAUGCUAGCACUGCCAGAUCCGCUCACCUGAUGAUCGGGUUCAUGCGGACAUGGUUGGAUCUGCUCGCUUUUAGGUCGAAGUGCCCGGCUGUGAGUUUGGGGACAGUGGCAAGAUCUAGCGUGUAUUGUUUUUGUUUUUUUGUUGGCAUCCUCUUUAACAAUGAUGUUAGUAUAUGCAUGAGAAGUCAUGUUAGUGUAUAUGACUCUCUUCUGUUGUAUGCUUGCUGGAACUUUUGUUUGUGAUUUCAUGUCUCCAAACAGCAGUAUCACUGAAUGGAUAUGGAAUAGUGAAUAUGUAGGUAUGUAUAUGAUAUUCUCCAAGUGGACUCUGCUUAUGCUCCUGACAAAACCAGCUUCCUUUGAUUUUGAUUUUGAUUUAUGAAUACAGGACGAUUCGUACGUUGACACCUACAAGGGUUGUCAUAGAGGAAGGAACAAGCACCUUUACUGAGAGGUGAGCAAAAGUUCCUCGUAUAUGGUGUCUUAUUGGUCCCAUUGUGCCAUUUAGAAUGAAAUCUUUUAAAAAAAUACUCUAGGGAACAGGGAGCAUAAGAAAUUGCUAGCAAAAUCAUGCAUUCAUUUUUUUUUUUGCUAUUGUUUACAGAUUUUGAUCAGAUAAUAAUGAUACAAGCAAGAGGAGUGGAAGCGGCAAUGCAAAAAUAAGAAAAAUGUAAAUGUGGCACAUUCAGCACAUUGCUAAUUGAGCUUUGACUUCUGAACUUAUAACUGACAGUCUUAUGGUGUUGUGAGAAAUGGCUCUGUACCAUGCCACGGUGUCAUGUUCUUUAGGUAAACUCAAAAUUCUUUCUAUUGAGUGCAUGAUUUUUUUUAAUUGAUGUAUAUUAUCAUGGCCAAUGUUUUCUGGUCGGCUGGUCGAUCCUGGUCGACCUGGGACCGACCAGGCGAUUAAUCAGCGACCAGGUCGAUUAAUCGACCCUGGUCGUCCCUGGUCGUCCAGGCAUAUCAGCUGGUCGACCUAUAUAUAUACCUCUAUAUAUACACUAUAUUAUACACAAUAUAUGAAGCAUCAAGACUGCAUUACUGUAAACCAACAUUCCUCUUCAUCUUCAACUCUUUUUUAUGUAAACCAACAUCUCCUUCUUAACUAUUUCUGGAGAACUGGGACAACCAACAGCAUCUCCAUACCCCCCACAUAUCUGCCUUGUCAAAAAAGCCCAAAAACAGAGCACACAACCUGGUCGUCCAUGUCCUAAUCGAACGAUUAAUCGCGAUAAGUGGACGACUAAUCGGACGACCAGGUUUCUGGUCGACCUGGUCGGGUCAGACCUCCUAAUCGAGCACUCCUGACCGACCAGGAUGAUUAAUCGGACGACCUGAAAACAUUGAUCAUGGGCACAAAAUCACUACAGAUCCUUGCCAUUUUGGUAGCAGUCUGCCAAGGUAGGAGCGGCGUGGAAAGUCUUUCCCCCCUUCUUGUCAUUGCCUUGUUCCUCUGUUGCACUGAAUAGUAGCUCACUGCUGAGCUUGCCUAGGCUGAUGUGGGCUUGGAGAUCACCAACCCAAGGUCAGCUUGCCUUGUGGUCAUUGCCAUAUAAUUUCACUGUAUUUGCUUUGCAAAAGAUUUGUCAGUAGAACAUUAUAUACAUGUCCCUGUGGACAUGUUUCCACCUGUUUGAAUCCAAAGUUGGUUGUGGUCUUGGUUAGGAUAAUAUAUUAUAAGUCUUUAAUGCUAUUGAACCUAUGAGACAGCACAUGAUUGAUUGUAAUACUUCAUUAAUCUUCUUUGAAUUUUUGACAACUAAUUAAGAAUAGAAAACCACUUGGUUUUGAGAAUAAAAAAAAAUCAUGUCUUCUAUGCCUUAGGUUCAGAUACGUCAGAUUUUCAACAUGCCAUUCAUGGUUAUGCAAUAGUGGUUCUUCAUACAUUCUUACAUGGGCCCUCUGAAAGUACCUACUUUUACACCCUAAGCUUCUUCUAUUGAAAAGUCUUUGGUUCUCAAUUCGAAGUAGGUAUCUGCUCGAUGCCGUGGGGUUGAUGGGUUCUUUUUCUUUCUUAUUAAUUGAUUUUGUAUUCAAUGGGUCUUUGGUCAAUAUUUUCUGAACAUUUGAGACUGAGGAAUGCAAUUCCCAUAUAUUCUUGGGCAAAAUGAAUCUAGCUUUUGGUUGCUGGGUUCACUGUCUAAGACUGUAGCUUUUAUUUGUGAAAUUUAGUAACGUAUGAUCUGCCUCUUUCUCAGAUCAGUACAUAGUUUAGAGAUCCAUCAUAUGACACUAUACCUGCAUAAUGAUUAAUAUUAAGCAUGGACCGGGUAGGCAUACUUCCUACUAACUAAACACGUUAAAGGAUCUAGAAAAGUUUAGCUGAAGCUAACACCGUAAAAAAAACUCAGGCAAAUAACAGAAACUGAUACUGUUCUCUAUCCAGUAAGGAAAUUUUCUUGGUUAAUUUUCAGGUCACUCCUAGCUGCAUAAAAAGGGAUUGUGUCUAAACCAUGCUGCUAGCUAAAGCCUGAGGUUAGUCUCAUUGCCUCAUACAACUGUUGUGUGCUUGAUGGUUACCUUGUGCAUUUUGUUUGGUGCUUUAAAUAUACUCCCUGAUUAGAAGGCAUGGAGUAAUACAUAGUGCGAGCGGAUGUUCUUCGUAUUAUUUAG
RNAcentral lists this long non-coding RNA (2967 nucleotides) under Sorghum bicolor (sorghum). RNAcentral's name for it is "long non-coding RNA (SBIC_LNC003205)". The record is from RNAcentral. Lineage: Eukaryota; Viridiplantae; Streptophyta; Magnoliopsida; Poales; Poaceae.